CCCUGGCUCUAGCAGCACAGAAAUAUUGGCACUGGGAAGAGUCUGCCAAUAUUGGCUGAGCUGCUCCAGGCAGGG
RNAcentral lists this microRNA precursor (75 nucleotides) under Myotis myotis. RNAcentral describes it as "mir-16 microRNA precursor family". It matches the Rfam family "mir-16 microRNA precursor family". Rfam says of the family: The hairpin precursors (represented here) are predicted based on base pairing and cross-species conservation -- their extents are not known. In this case the mature sequence is excised from the 5' arm of the hairpin. RNAcentral also lists the same sequence under 1 other name. The record is from Rfam by way of RNAcentral. Lineage: Eukaryota; Metazoa; Chordata; Mammalia; Chiroptera; Vespertilionidae.